Molecule: small RNA, 553 nt
Filed under: Arabidopsis thaliana (thale cress)
Lineage: Eukaryota; Viridiplantae; Streptophyta; Magnoliopsida; Brassicales; Brassicaceae
Description: ATSL026730
Source: RNAcentral
AAUUAUAUAAAACCAAAAAUGUUAUGUGGUAUGUAUAAUGUUACUAUAUAUAAAAUAUAAAUGUAUUAGAGAAUGAUAUAAUUUGCAAAACUUUUAUCUAUAAAAAAAUAAUUCUUAAAUUUUAAAAAUUACUACUUUAAAAAGAAAAUCACAGGACGGGUAAAGAAAUUAUAGAACGGGUUUUAUUUUGGAAUUGAGUUAUAUGGUGGAUGUAUUUGAAUCAAUAUUUAUAAAAUUUUAAAAUAUUAUUAAUAUACUGUUUUAAUAGGGGUUACAACUUCAGUUUUUUAACAAUUGUCUCAUAGAUUCGUGGUAUAGUCUUACUUAAUAACAAUUAUAAACUGUAAAAUAUAAAUAUUUUAUAAAAAUAAAAUUUGCAAAUUUUAAUAUAUAUUACUUUUAAAAAAUAAAUCGUCCCGCGAUAUACUGCGGGUUAAAAUCUAGUUUGGAUUAUAUAAGACUCAAGUAUAUUUGAAGAUGGACCUCAUCUUAGGUAUUUUUCACACUUAGAAAACUAUUAGCUAACUCAUUGUACUUAUUAUAUACUCAUAUU